AUGGCGCCCCACCCCAUCAGGCUCCGGACGGCGCGCCUCGCCGGGCGGCACAUUGCCUUGUGGGCAGUGUUGAAAUGGGCCUCCGGCGAGCCGGGGACAACAGGCCCCUCGAAGGGCACCAUGAGCCAGCGCAGGAGCGGGUACCCGUUCCCAUCCGCGACCAGGAAUGGGAUCAUACCACCAUCAUUCGCUCGCCCGGUGGCCCUCCGGUCUCCCCCGUCCUCUCACCUCACCACUUGGAGGGUUGGAAAGGUUGCUACAGGGCUCCACCGGGCACGGGAGCCAAUCGGGACAGGAAGGGAUUUGUCAAAGCUCCACUAG
RNAcentral lists this ribosomal RNA (321 nucleotides) under Triticum aestivum (bread wheat). RNAcentral's name for it is "partial small subunit ribosomal RNA". The record is from RNAcentral. Lineage: Eukaryota; Viridiplantae; Streptophyta; Magnoliopsida; Poales; Poaceae.